Molecule: long non-coding RNA, 1423 nt
Organism: Cygnus atratus (black swan)
Lineage: Eukaryota; Metazoa; Chordata; Aves; Anseriformes; Anatidae
Exons: 3
Source: RefSeq, a predicted model, not a curated record
CUUGGUUUUCCUGGAGAACCUGUGUCUUUGUGGCAGUGCCAACUGUCAUUCUACAUGCUGGCUUGCACCUCUUGCCUCAGAGGCCCAAAUACUCCUGUCUUGCAUGUGUCAUUUACUGAUUCACUUCCAGCUCAUCCCCUGUGAAGCAGAGAAUAUUAUCUAUUAUUAUAAUAAUGUUAUCUAUACUGUUUACACACAGGCAGGAAACAGUGAGAGAUGGACUGAGAGCAGACACAAACAGCGCUGCUGCCCAGCUGGGAAGUGCUCUGGCAUGUGCCUUCAUCGUAUCAGGGUCUCUCCAGGUGGCAGGAUGUGCCUGUUAACCCUGUGGGAUCCUCACCUUGCCCAGCAGGUUUGCUGAUGCUGCUAGCUGCCAGCAGCCCGAGUUUGACAGUUAAGAGAAAAAUCAAGUGCUUUGCUGAAGAAGCUGAACAUGGAACACUGAGGAUGGAGCUGUCGCUGCAGUGGUGAUGCCAUAACCCCAGCACGUCCCUCCUCUGAACCAAACGCAGAUGCUGUUUCACUAGGGUAACCACUGCCUAAAGCUGCCCUGAGCACACGGACCUGAGAAGUCCUGGAAACCACGCUCCCUGCAGGGCAGGCGGAAAGAGGGCUCUGGGUGUCAGCCCUGAUUUCAUGGAGAAAAGCAGCUUGUUAGACACGGACAUCAGCUGGGAGUGGAAAUUUCAGGAGAGACGUGUUGUGCCACAGAUGUCUUUAAAGUCCAUUGGUUAAAUAAUGCUUGUGUACUAGAGAGAAGGUCAUCUUCAGCAGCCUCCCUUGGUUUAAGGAAGAGUCAUGGGGUGGAAAAGAAAAAGGAUUUUUUGUAGACCCUGUCAACAGUGCUCUGAAUCCUCUUUGUGCUGGCAGAUGUGGAGAUACAGAGUGUCUCAGAUGCAGGGUGUGUGUCCACCUUCAACAUCUGUUACCAGUCCUCAUUGCCUCCUGAAAGGAUGGCUCUAUCCGUGCCCUGGGUUGUGCCCUGACUGGUACCCUGUAGGUGAUGCCUGCUCCUACAGCACAUGAACCAGCUCAAGAAAGUUCCAAGUUCAGCUGCUGCCAUUUCAGUCCAGAAGAUCCUCAAAUCUGGUGUUUUUGGUAUUAAGGAGCAGCCUCCUCUACCUGAUCUAACCAAGAUGCUGUUCAGUCAGGUAGGCUCCUUGAUAUACUUCCUUCCCUUCAUAUUUUAAUUUAGGACUGAUUUUAUCAGAAAUGUGGUGUUAUUUCCUGCUCGUACAUCUUUCUACGGUACACAGACUGAAUAUGGAAAUCUAUUGAUGGCCUUUUCCAAAGAGGAUUAUUGUAAUGCUACUGGUGUUUACAGUUACAGCCACAAACCACCUAUUCAUGGCUCCUUUUGAACUCCAUCCAACCCAACUUAUGGUAUGGAAACACCUUUAGUGUCUUCUAAACCUAAAUUCAU